RNAcentral lists this long non-coding RNA (468 nucleotides) under Durio zibethinus. RNAcentral describes it as "long non-coding RNA (DZIB_LNC000396)". The record is from RNAcentral. Lineage: Eukaryota; Viridiplantae; Streptophyta; Magnoliopsida; Malvales; Malvaceae.
ACACAGCAGCAGAAACAGCAUCAGGUUCAGGAGCCCCUUGAUGAGAAUUUGUUCUCUGAUCUUAUUGUUCAAAACCCGCUUGAUCAGCCAGAACCAGAACCACGGCCUCCUUCUGCUACUGCCUUCUCUCGUCAGACUUCUUCUACACCAUCCCCGUUGGCAGAAGACCAUGAGCGAGAGCAAAAGCAAGAUCUUGAGCACCCCAAGCCUGAAUCAUUGAAUUUAACACAGCAGCAGCAACAGCAUCAGGUUCAGGAGCCCCUUGAUGAGAAUCUUUUCUCUGAUCUUACUGUUCAAACCCGGCUUGAUCAGCCAGAACCAGAACCACGGCCUCCUUCUGCUGCUACUGCCUUAUCUCGUCAGACGUCUUCUAGCUAUAGAAAGAAAAAGAGAGCUACUGGAUUCAGGAUUGGAUAUGGCAGAGAUUAUCAGAGUAACAAUAAUGUUGAUAGUCAUGAUAAUCAAUUC